AGUGGGAUAGCUGGGUCAAAUGGUGGUUCCAUUCCAAGUUUUCUAGGGAAUCUCCAUACUUCUUUCCAUAGUGAUUACACCAAUUUGCAAUCCCACCAGUAGU
Molecule: microRNA precursor, 103 nt
Filed under: Marmota monax (woodchuck)
Lineage: Eukaryota; Metazoa; Chordata; Mammalia; Rodentia; Sciuridae
Source: RNAcentral